GAUGAACGCUGGCGGCGUGCCUCAAACAUGCAAGUCGAGCGGGGCUAUGUAAUAUCGCAAGGUAGAACAUAGCCUAGCGGCGAACGGGUGAGUAACACGUGGGUAACCUGCCUGGAAGACAGGGAUAACGAUUCGAAAGGGUCGCUAAUACCUGAUAAUAUCCUUUCAUCGCAUGGUGAUAGGAAGAAAGGGGAAACCCGCUUUCAGAUGGGCCCGCGUCCCAUCAGCUAGUUGGUAAGGUAAAGGCUUACCAAGGCGACGACGGGUAGCCGGUCUGAGAGGAUGUACGGCCACACUGGGACUGAGAUACGGCCCAGACUCCUACGGGAGGCAGCAGUUGGGAAUCUUAGGCAAUGGACGAAAGUCUGACCUAGCGACGCCGCGUGAGGGAAGAAGGCCUUCGGGUUGUAAACCUCUGUCAUGGGGGAAGAAGUAAGUGACGGUACCCCAAGAGGAAGCCCCGGCUAACUACGUGCCAGCAGCCGCGGUAAAGUACUCUAU
RNAcentral lists this ribosomal RNA (501 nucleotides) under uncultured bacterium. RNAcentral describes it as "bacterial SSU rRNA". It matches the Rfam family "Bacterial small subunit ribosomal RNA", at positions 28 to 530 of the family's 1533-position model. The record is from RNAcentral.